UACGUAGGGGGCAAGCGUUGUCCGGAUUUAUUGGGCGUAAAGAGCGUGUAGGCGGCUAGGCAGGUCCGUUGUGAAAACUCGAGGCUCAACCUCGAGACGCCGGUGGAAACCAUCUAGCUAGAGUCCGGAAGAGGAGAGUGGAAUUCCUGGUGUAGCGGUGAAAUGCGCAGAUAUCAGGAAGAACACCCGUGGCGAAGGCGGCUCUCUGGGACGUGACUGACGCUGAGACGCGAAAGCGUGGGGAGCGAACAGG
Molecule: ribosomal RNA, 253 nt
Filed under: uncultured bacterium
Lineage: Bacteria
Description: partial 16S ribosomal RNA
Rfam family: Bacterial small subunit ribosomal RNA
Source: RNAcentral